UUUCUAGGGAGGACGGGACCAGCUGAGCAAACCGAAUGGUUGCGCGCGACCCCUGAAAAGCAGCCGGCUUGUCGUGGGAAGGUCACCUUAAGUAUAUUUAGAAACUAAAAGUGAUCAAUGGAUGCGCCUGGUAUAUUUUGUGUCUCCAUACACAACAGAGAAAUGUAAUGGUAAAAAGAACCCUAUGGAGAAAGCAGAGGAGGUGAGGUGUUACCUGAUUGCUUUCAGAUGUUUGCAGAUCAUAUGUGGUAACCCGAAUGCUUUGGAACUGGUCACACCAAAAGGGGCUAUUCAGCAGGUUCUGACCAGUCCUGGAGAACUGGUAGUGGAAAUUUUGAGUAGUUCAGA
Thamnophis elegans (Western terrestrial garter snake) is the source of this 348-nucleotide long non-coding RNA. RefSeq lists it as uncharacterized. Lineage: Eukaryota; Metazoa; Chordata; Lepidosauria; Squamata; Natricidae. The transcript has 3 exons. The record is from RefSeq and is a predicted model, not a curated record.